GGGGUUGUGACUCAGAGGUAGAGUGCUCGCCUAGCAUGAGUGAGGCACUGGGUUCAAUCCUCAGCAUCACCU
Molecule: transfer RNA, 72 nt
Filed under: Ictidomys tridecemlineatus (thirteen-lined ground squirrel)
Lineage: Eukaryota; Metazoa; Chordata; Mammalia; Rodentia; Sciuridae
Description: Spermophilus tridecemlineatus (thirteen-lined ground squirrel) tRNA
Rfam family: tRNA
About the family: Transfer RNA (tRNA) molecules are approximately 80 nucleotides in length. Their secondary structure includes four short double-helical elements and three loops (D, anti-codon, and T loops). Further hydrogen bonds mediate the characteristic L-shaped molecular structure. tRNAs have two regions of fundamental functional importance: the anti-codon, which is responsible for specific mRNA codon recognition, and the 3' end, to which the tRNAs corresponding amino acid is attached (by aminoacyl-tRNA synthetases). tRNAs cope with the degeneracy of the genetic code in two manners: having more than one tRNA (with a specific anti-codon) for a particular amino acid; and 'wobble' base-pairing, i.e. permitting non-standard base-pairing at the 3rd anti-codon position.
Source: Rfam by way of RNAcentral